CGAUUUCGACCAACCUUAAAAACUGGGCUCAUAAUCAAAAAUCUAAGUACAUGUUUAGAUUCAGCAUAUCAAAGAACCCCAAGAAUUCAAUUUUUGUUAAAAUCAAGCAAAGUUUAAUUUUGGACCCUUUGGACCUUAAUGUAGAACAAUUUGAAAACAGGACCAAAAAUUAAGAAUCUGAAUACAUGGUUAGAUUUGGCAUAUCAAAGAACCCCAAUAAUUUAUUUUUUGAUGAAAUCAAACAAAGUUUAAAUUUGGACCCUUUUGGCCCCUAAUUUGUUGGGACCAAAACUCCCAAAAUCAAUCCAAACCUUCCUUUUGUGGUCAUAAACCUUGUGUUAAAAUUUCAUAGAUUUCUAUUAACUUAAACUAAAGUUAUUGUGCGAAAACCAAGAAAAAUGCUUAUUUGGGCCCUUUAUGGCCCCCAAUUCCUAAACUGUUGGGACCAAAACACCCAAAAUCAAUCCCAACGUUCCUUUUAUGGUCAUAAACCUUGUGUUUAAAUUUCGUAGAUUUCUAUUUACUUUUACUGAAGUUAG
Molecule: long non-coding RNA, 539 nt
Filed under: Mytilus galloprovincialis (Mediterranean mussel)
Lineage: Eukaryota; Metazoa; Mollusca; Bivalvia; Mytilida; Mytilidae
Source: RNAcentral